This 269-nucleotide ribosomal RNA is filed under the name uncultured bacterium. RNAcentral's name for it is "partial 16S ribosomal RNA". It matches the Rfam family "Bacterial small subunit ribosomal RNA", at positions 793 to 1055 of the family's 1533-position model. The record is from RNAcentral.
GUCCACGCCGUAAACGAUGCGCACUAGGUAUGAGAGGUCUGACGCCGCUCGUGCCGAAGCAAAAGUGUUAAGUGCGCCGCCUGGGGAGUACGGCCGCAAGGCUAAAACUCAAAGGAAUUGACGGGGGCUCACACAAGCGGUGGAGCAUGUGGAUUAAUUCGAAGCAACGCGAAGAACCUUACCUGGGUUUGACAUGUACGGAUGCCGUCCAUGAAAGUGGAGCCGGUUGCCUUCGGGUGAAACGUGCACAGGUGCUGCAUGGCUGUCGU